UGGACGUAUUAUGUUCAUGAUGGGAUGUGUCAUGCAUGAUGAAGGCAUCUCUGAAACUCUGAGGUCCAA
Small nucleolar RNA from Phacochoerus africanus (Common warthog), 69 nucleotides. RefSeq annotates it as small nucleolar RNA SNORD113/SNORD114 family. The transcript has a single exon. The record is from RefSeq and is a predicted model, not a curated record. Lineage: Eukaryota; Metazoa; Chordata; Mammalia; Artiodactyla; Suidae.